This 444-nucleotide ribosomal RNA is filed under the name Tubulipora lobifera. Its description in RNAcentral is "partial 16S ribosomal RNA". The stretch from base 15 to 222 matches the Rfam family "Bacterial large subunit ribosomal RNA", at positions 1700 to 2029 of the family's 2925-position model. Lineage: Eukaryota; Metazoa; Bryozoa; Stenolaemata; Tubuliporida; Tubuliporidae. The record is from RNAcentral.
URAUUUAGUUAAAAUAUKUAAAAGGAAMUCGGCAAAAUUUGAAUUAAUUUGACUGUUUAUUAAAAACAUAGUAAUAAGAAAUUACUUAUUAUCUAAGCUGCUCAAUGACAAAACUCUUGUUAAAUAGCUGUAGGAAAUCUAUACAAAGGUAGCGUAAUAAAUUGUUUUUUAAUUGAGAACCUGUAUCAAUGCCUGAACACAAUUAAUGCUGUCUCUUAAAUAAUAAAAAAAUUUAAUUUUAAAGUGAAGAAGCUUUGAUAAAAUAAAAAGACAAAAAGACCCCAUUGAAUUUUAAAAUAAUUAAUAAAUGUUAAUAUUUUUUAUACUGGGGUAGUACAGGAAAAGCUUUCCUGAAAUUUAAAUCUAUGGAGACCCUUUAAUAAGAGAAUCUAGAAAAAAUUACCAUGGGGNUAACAGUGUAUCAUUUUCAAAAAGUACUAUAAG